RNAcentral lists this ribosomal RNA (1639 nucleotides) under Xylariales sp. M93. Its description in RNAcentral is "eukaryotic LSU rRNA". The stretch from base 254 to 1639 matches the Rfam family "Eukaryotic large subunit ribosomal RNA", at positions 1 to 1404 of the family's 3401-position model. The record is from RNAcentral. Lineage: Eukaryota; Fungi; Ascomycota; Sordariomycetes; Xylariales; Xylariaceae.
AGGUAAAAUGGUGAUUGCAGAUUCAGUGAAUCAUCGAAUCUUUGAACGCACAUUGCGCCCAUGAGUAUUCUCUUGGGCAUGCCUGUUCGAGCGUCAUUUCGACCCUUAAGCAUAGCUUAGUGUUGGGAAUCUACUGUCUGUAGUUCCUGAAAACCAACGGCGGAGUUAUAGUAUCCUCUGAGCGUAGUAAUCAUUAUCUCGCUUCUGUUAGGUGCUGUAAUUCUAGCCGCUAAACCCCCUAUUUUUAAAGGUUUGACCUCGGAUCAGGUAGGAAUACCCGCUGAACUUAAGCAUAUCAAUAAGCGGAGGAAAAGAAACCAACAGGGAUUGCCCUAGUAACGGCGAGUGAAGCGGCAACAGCUCAAAUUUGAAAUCUGGCCCUCGGGUCCGAAUUGUAAUUUGUAGAGGAUGCUUUUGGUUAGGUACCUUCCGAGUUCCCUGGAACGGGACGCCUUAGAGGGUGAGAGCCCCGUACGGUUGGAUGCCGAGCCUCUGUAAAGCUCCUUCGACGAGUCGAGUAGUUUGGGAAUGCUGCUCUAAAUGGGAGGUAAAUUUCUUCUAAAGCUAAAUACCGGCCAGAGACCGAUAGCGCACAAGUAGAGUGAUCGAAAGAUGAAAAGUACUUUGAAAAGAGGGUUAAACAGCACGUGAAAUUGUUGAAAGGGAAGCGUUUAUGACCAGACUUUUUCUAGGCGGAUCAUCCGGUGUUCUCACCGGUGCACUUUGUCUAGUUUAGGCCAACAUCGGUUUCUGUAGGGGGAUAAAAUCGGUAGGAACGUAGCUCCCUCGGGAGUGUUAUAGCCUAUCGAAUAAUACCUUUACGGGGACCCGAGGUUCGCGCUCUGCAAGGAUGUUGGCAUAAUGGUCAUCAACGACCCGUCUUGAAACACGGACCAAGGAGUCGAACAUUUGUGCGAGUGUUUGGGUGUUAAACCCUCACGCGUAAUGAAAGUGAACGGAGGUGAGAGCCCUUCGGGGUGCAUCAUCGACCGAUCCUGAAGUUUACGGAUGGAUUUGAGUAAGAGCAUAACUGUUCGGACCCGAAAGAUGGUGAACUAUGCGUGGAUAGGGUGAAGCCAGAGGAAACUCUGGUGGAGGCUCGCAGCGGUUCUGACGUGCAAAUCGAUCGUCAAAUCUGCGCAUGGGGGCGAAAGUAAGUUUAAAAUGUUAUCUCGAGGGUAUAAACAAAGUGCUAAUGUGUGUUUUACAGGACUAAUCGAACCAUUAAACCAGCGGUAAAUUUGAUUUACUAGGUGGUUAAGAGGCGUCUCGAGAGAGAUUCCAGACCUAGGUCAAGGCAGCCUACCCGAAGCGAGCUACCCGGAACGACUUGCCCAGAGCGAGUUACCCGGAACGGCUUACCCAGAGCGAGCUACCCGGACCGAUACCACUAAAUUGCGGGGACAUCCUUUCAAUCUCUAGGCUACCGCAGCGCGCUGAAAACCGUGUCUGCACCAAGAUUAGCGGUCUUGGGUAUGGUAACAACGCCUAGAGCUGGGACGAUCUGCAGCCAACCCCGUGCUAGGGGAGAGUUCACAGACUAAACAGUGGUAGGUCGGCACCCGUGCCGGCUUAAGACAUAGUCGCCCGUGGCCCUGAAAAGGCGCCCGUAGCUACAAUAUAGCGUCAAAUUGGUAAA